Cololabis saira (Pacific saury) is the source of this 227-nucleotide long non-coding RNA. RefSeq lists it as uncharacterized. The transcript has 3 exons. The record is from RefSeq and is a predicted model, not a curated record. Lineage: Eukaryota; Metazoa; Chordata; Actinopteri; Beloniformes; Belonidae.
CUCAAUGAAUUGGAGUUGUCAUUGCAGGUUUGCAGGUCGCAGAUUGCAGAUUGUAUCCGGACUUCGAUGACGAACGCUAUCAUUUAUGGUCUUGCGUGGACACAUAACGUGCCCGUGCUUCAGGCGGAACAGCUGUUCCUUGCUGGGCAACCCUUACAUCCAAGUGAAAGGGAGGAAUUUAAAAGGAAGCUCCAAAAACAACUGCUCCAACCAGGGAGACACUGAGG